This 209-nucleotide ribosomal RNA is filed under the name uncultured bacterium. Its description in RNAcentral is "partial 16S ribosomal RNA". It matches the Rfam family "Bacterial small subunit ribosomal RNA", at positions 568 to 774 of the family's 1533-position model. The record is from RNAcentral.
CGCGUAGGCGGUCUUGCAAGUCCCGUGUGAAAUCCCUCGGCUCAACUGAGGAACUGCACGGGAAACUGCUUGGCUUGAGUUCGGGAGAGGGAAGCGGAAUUCCGGGUGUAGCGGUGAAAUGCGUAGAUAUCCGGAGGAACACCGGUGGCGAAGGCGGCUUCCUGGACCGACACUGACGCUGAGGCGCGAAAGCUAGGGGAAGGCAAACG